AACAUGUAUUGCCCUUUAGCUCUUUUGUAAUCUGGAUGUACCUCAAAAAGAAUAUUAAGACUGUGGUGAUGAGCGACCUUCCUC
This 84-nucleotide small RNA is filed under the name Dipodomys ordii (Ord's kangaroo rat). RNAcentral describes it as "Taurine upregulated 1 conserved region 2 (ENSDORG00000029619.1)". The record is from RNAcentral. Lineage: Eukaryota; Metazoa; Chordata; Mammalia; Rodentia; Heteromyidae.